CAGUCGCCACGGGAAUACAGAGGGUGCGAGCGUUAAUCGGAUUUACUGGGCGUAAAGCGUGCGUAGGCGGCUUUUUAAGUCGGAUGUGAAAUCCCUGAGCUUAACUUAGGAAUUGCAUUCGAUACUGGGAAGCUAGAGUAUGGGAGAGGAUGGUAGAAUUCCAGGUGUAGCGGUGAAAUGCGUAGAGAUCUGGAGGAAUACCGGUGGCGAAGGCGGCCCCCUGGACAAAGACUGACGCUCAGGUGCGAAAGCGUGGGGAGCAAACAGGAUUAGAUACCCCUGUAGUCCCUGUCUCUUAUAA
This 301-nucleotide ribosomal RNA is filed under the name uncultured bacterium. Its description in RNAcentral is "partial 16S ribosomal RNA". It matches the Rfam family "Bacterial small subunit ribosomal RNA", at positions 509 to 809 of the family's 1533-position model. The record is from RNAcentral.